Molecule: unclassified non-coding RNA, 289 nt
Filed under: Sordariomycetes sp.
Lineage: Eukaryota; Fungi; Ascomycota; Sordariomycetes
Description: partial contains 5.8S ribosomal RNA, internal transcribed spacer 2, and large subunit ribosomal RNA
Rfam family: 5.8S ribosomal RNA (bases 1-71)
Source: RNAcentral
GUGAGUCAUCGAAUCUUUGAACGCACAUUGCGCCCGCCAGUAUUCUGGCGGGCAUGCCUGUCCGAGCGUCAUUUCAACCCCUCAAGCCCAGCUUGGUGUUGGGGCCCCUACGUGCGCCGUAGGCCCCGAAUGUCAGUGGCGGGCUCGCCGCGACCCCGAGCGUAGUAGCAUAAAGCUCGCUCCAGGGCGCCGCGGCGGGUGCCGGCCGUGAAAAAACCCCACUUUCUCAGGUUGACCUCGGAUCAGGUAGGAAUACCCGCUGAACUUAAGCAUAUCAAUAAGCGGAGGA